RNAcentral lists this ribosomal RNA (497 nucleotides) under uncultured bacterium. RNAcentral describes it as "partial 16S ribosomal RNA". It matches the Rfam family "Bacterial small subunit ribosomal RNA", at positions 28 to 507 of the family's 1533-position model. The record is from RNAcentral.
GAUGAACGCUGGCGGCGUGCCUAAUACAUGCAAUUCGAGCGAACAGACGAGGAGCUUGCUCCUCUGACGUUAGCGGCGGACGGGUGCGUAACACGUGGAUAACCUACCUAUAAGACUGGGAUAACUUCGGGAAACCGGAGCUAAUACCGGAUUAUAUAUUGAACCGCAUGGUUCAAUAGUGAAAGACGGUUUUGCUGUCACUUAUAUAUGAAUCCGCGCCGCAUUAGCUAGUUGGUAAGGUAACGGCUUACCAAGGCAACGAUGCGUAGCCGACCUGAGAGGGUGAUCGGACACACUGGAACAGAGACACGGUCCAGACUCCUACGGGAGGCAGCAGUAGAGAAUCUUACGCAAUGGGCGAAAGCGUGACGGAGCAACGCCGCGUGAGUGAUGAAGGUCUUCGGAUCGUAAAACUAUGUUAGUAGGAAAGAACAAAUGUGUAAGUAACUAGGCACGUCUUGACGGUACCUAAACAGAAAGCCACGGCUAACUACGUG